AUUGAACGCUGGCGGCAGGCCUAACACAUGCAAGUCGAGCGGAUGAAGGGAGCUUGCUCCUGGAUUCAGCGGCGGACGGGUGAGUAAUGCCUAGGAAUCUGCCUGGUAGUGGGGGAUAACGUCCGGAAACGGGCGCUAAUACCGCAUACGUCCUGAGGGAGAAAGUGGGGGAUCUUCGGACAUCACGCUAUCAGAUGAGCCUAGGUCGGAUUAGCUAGUUGGUGGGGUAAAGGCCUACCAAGGCGACGAUCCGUAACUGGUCUGAGAGGAUGAUCAGUCACAAUGGGACUGAGAACAGGCCCAAACCCCUACGGGGGGCAGCAGGAGGGAAAUUUUGGCAAGGGGUGAAAGUCUGAACCAGCCACGCCGGGUGGGGGAAGAAGGUUCUUGGAUUGUAAAACUCUUUUGGUUGGGAAGAAAGGUGAUUAGAUUAGAACGUUCCUGUUGUGACGUUACCAACAAAAAAAGCGCCGGCUAACUUCGUG
Molecule: ribosomal RNA, 485 nt
Filed under: uncultured bacterium
Lineage: Bacteria
Description: partial 16S ribosomal RNA
Rfam family: Bacterial small subunit ribosomal RNA
Source: RNAcentral